GACGAACGCUGGCGGCGUGCUUAACACAUGCAAGUCGAACGGAAAGGCCCUGCUUUUGUGGGGUGCUCGAGUGGCGAACGGGUGAGUAACACGUGAGUAACCUGCCUUUGACUUUGGGAUAACUUCAGGAAACUGGGGCUAAUACCGGAUAGGAGCUCCUGCGGCAUGGUGGGGGUUGGAAAGUUUCGGCGGUUGGGGAUGGACUCGCGGCUUAUCAGCUUGUUGGUGGGGUAGUGGCUUACCAAGGCUUUGACGGGUAGCCGGCCUGAGAGGGUGACCGGCGACAUUGGGACUGAGAUACGGCGCAGACUCCUACUGGAGGCAGCGGUGGGGAGUAUUACACAGUGGGCGGAAGUCUGAUGCAGCAACGCCGCGUGCGGGAUGACGGCCUUCGGGUUGUAAACCGCUUUCGCCUGUGACGAAGCGUGAGUGACGGUAAUGGGUAAAGAAGCACCGGCUAACUACGUG
This 468-nucleotide ribosomal RNA is filed under the name uncultured bacterium. RNAcentral describes it as "partial 16S ribosomal RNA". It matches the Rfam family "Bacterial small subunit ribosomal RNA", at positions 28 to 507 of the family's 1533-position model. The record is from RNAcentral.